AGCGAACGCUGGCGGCAGGCUUAACACAUGCAAGUCGAACGGAUCCUUCGGGAUUAGUGGCGGACGGGUGAGUAACACGUGGGAACGUGCCUUUUGGUUCGGAACAACACAGGGAAACUUGUGCUAAUACCGGAUGUGCCCUUCGGGGGAAGGAUUUAUCGCCAUUAGAGCGGCCCGCGUCUGAUUAGCUAGUUGGUGAGGUAAAGGCUCACCAAGGCUACGAUCAGUAGCUGGUCNGAGAGGAUGAUCAGCCACACUGGGACUGAGACACGGCCCAGACUCCUACGGGAGGCAGCAGUGGGGAAUCUUGCGCAAUGGGGAACCCUGACGCAGCCAUGCCGCGUGAAUGAUGAAGGUC
Molecule: ribosomal RNA, 358 nt
Filed under: uncultured bacterium
Lineage: Bacteria
Description: bacterial SSU rRNA
Rfam family: Bacterial small subunit ribosomal RNA
Source: RNAcentral